GCCACCCUAGCUCAGUUGGUAGAGCAGCGGUUUCGUAAACCGCAGGUCGUCGGUUCAAUUCCGACGGGUGGCUCCA
This 76-nucleotide transfer RNA is filed under the name Terriglobales bacterium. Its description in RNAcentral is "Acidobacteriales bacterium tRNA-Thr". It matches the Rfam family "tRNA". Rfam says of the family: Transfer RNA (tRNA) molecules are approximately 80 nucleotides in length. Their secondary structure includes four short double-helical elements and three loops (D, anti-codon, and T loops). Further hydrogen bonds mediate the characteristic L-shaped molecular structure. tRNAs have two regions of fundamental functional importance: the anti-codon, which is responsible for specific mRNA codon recognition, and the 3' end, to which the tRNAs corresponding amino acid is attached (by aminoacyl-tRNA synthetases). tRNAs cope with the degeneracy of the genetic code in two manners: having more than one tRNA (with a specific anti-codon) for a particular amino acid; and 'wobble' base-pairing, i.e. permitting non-standard base-pairing at the 3rd anti-codon position. The record is from RNAcentral. Lineage: Bacteria; Pseudomonadati; Acidobacteriota; Terriglobia; Terriglobales.